AAGGUGGCGUCAUAUGUUUCCCUCGCUCGCUCGCUCGUCUCUCGCUGUCUGUGAAGGAAGAAGGAAGAGCAAUGGCGACGCUGUAUCGCCGCGCGCUCACACUGCACACAGGAGCCACAACACACACUAUCUUUACUCUGAUACUGCUGGGAAGAAGCUCUUGAAGGGUUCAGAGGUGAUCAAACGCAGUAAAGCAGAUAUGCUUUUGUAUGGUCACGCCAAAACACAAGA
Molecule: long non-coding RNA, 231 nt
Organism: Cyprinus carpio (common carp)
Lineage: Eukaryota; Metazoa; Chordata; Actinopteri; Cypriniformes; Cyprinidae
Exons: 3
Source: RefSeq, a predicted model, not a curated record